RNAcentral lists this ribosomal RNA (561 nucleotides) under uncultured Actinomycetes bacterium. RNAcentral's name for it is "bacterial SSU rRNA". It matches the Rfam family "Bacterial small subunit ribosomal RNA", at positions 338 to 916 of the family's 1533-position model. Lineage: Bacteria; Bacillati; Actinomycetota; Actinomycetes. The record is from RNAcentral.
CCUACGGGAGGCAGCAGGGAAUCUUGUCCAAUGGGCGAAAGCCUGAGACAGCGACGCCGCGUGAGGGAUGAAGGCCUUCGGGUUGUAAACCUCUUUCAGGAGGGACGAAAUUGACGGUACCUCCAGAAGAAGCCCCGGCCAACUACGUGCCAGCAGCCGCGGUAAUACGUAGGGGGCAAGCGUUGUCCGGAUUUAUUGGGCGUAAAGGGCUCGUAGGCGGUUCAACAAGUCGAUCGUGAAAGCCCGGGGCUCAACCCCGGGACGCCGGUCGAAACUGUUGUGACUAGGGUCCGGUAGAGGUGAGUGGAAUUCUCGGUGUAGCGGUGGAAUGCGCAGAUAUCGAGAGGAACACCGGUAGCGAGGGCGGCUCACUGGGCCGGUACCGACGCUGAGGAGCGAAAGCAUGGGGAGCAAACAGGAUUAGAUACCCUGGUAGUCCAUGCCGUAAACGAUGAACACUAGGUGUGGCGGACUCAUUGACGUCUGCCGUGCCGAAGCUAACGCAUUAAGUGUUCCGCCUGGGGAGUACGGCCGCAAGGUAAAACUCAAAGGAAUUGACGG